Chiroxiphia lanceolata (lance-tailed manakin) is the source of this 465-nucleotide long non-coding RNA. RefSeq lists it as uncharacterized. NCBI's taxonomy places the organism in Eukaryota, Metazoa, Chordata, Aves, Passeriformes, Pipridae. The transcript has 3 exons. The record is from RefSeq and is a predicted model, not a curated record.
CCUGCUGUCGGUUCUGCCGUGUGGGGGAGUGAGGCCUGGUGAGGCCUUGUGGACCUUGGGAGGCAGAGGGUGCUGGUAGUCAUUCAGCAUGAUUUCUGCCUGUUUCCCAGAGGGAGGGGUGAAGUCACCUGUUGUUGAGGAGGGAGAAAUCCUGAUUUUAGCAAUGAGACCCUUCAUGUGCAGCUGAAAUGAGCAGAAAUACAAGCUUUUACUGUCUCUAAAACACUCAUUUAAUCCUCCCACACACAUCCUCUAUUUCUGCUUUCUGAGAGAACACACUUCCUCAUGCUGAGUUCGUAUUAUCUUAUGAAGUGCCACAGCUACAUCUCACCCAGCUUCAGGUCCCCAUGAAUAUUAAAACAAAGGAGAUCAUGGGAAAAAAAGUGGAAUAUUGGAAAGGACAUUUGAGGAAAUCCUCUUAAGAAUUACUGAAGAUAUAAUAAUAAGAAGAAAACUAGGUCACAU